UGUUGAAAUUAUAGUUGCGCAGGCACUUUGAUGUCUCUAGAGAACCUCGGGCCAAUUGCACAUCCCCGUGGUGGCGACUUUGCAUGCGGAUGUCAUCCAUAUCAACUUUUGAUGCCAGUUUCUGCGGCUACCAUGGUGAGCGCAGGUAACGGGGAAUCAGGGUUCCAUUCCGUACAGGGACCCUGAGAAACGGUAACCACAUGCAAGGAAGGCAGCAGGUGUGCAAAUGACCCACUGCCGACCUGGGAAGGUAGUGACGACA
Non-coding RNA from Pelobates cultripes (western spadefoot toad), 262 nucleotides. The record is from the annotation of a GenBank genome assembly. NCBI's taxonomy places the organism in Eukaryota, Metazoa, Chordata, Amphibia, Anura, Pelobatidae.